RNAcentral lists this small nucleolar RNA (62 nucleotides) under Euglena gracilis. RNAcentral's name for it is "Eg-p23.1 AGAUGN box pseudouridylation-guide". The record is from RNAcentral. Lineage: Eukaryota; Euglenozoa; Euglenophyceae; Euglenales; Euglenaceae.
CAUGCACUUUAAGCACCUCUCCUUAAAUCUUGAGGCUGGGGUUCCUGAGGGUGCACAGAUCC